CCUGCACCUGCCGGCGACUGGCGCACGGGUGAGUAACACGUAUGGAACCUGCCCGCCACAGGGGGAUAACCCGGGGAAACCCGGCCUAAUACCCCAUGCCGCCCGGACCGGGCAUCCGGUCCGGGCGAAAGGAGGAAUCCGGUGGCGGCUGGGCAUGCGGCGCAUUAGCUUGACGGCGGGGUAACGGCCCACCGUGGCGACGAUGCGUAGGGGUUCUGAGAGGAAGGCCCCCCACACUGGAACUGAGACACGGUCCAGACUCCUACGGGAGGCAGCAG
This 278-nucleotide ribosomal RNA is filed under the name uncultured bacterium. RNAcentral describes it as "partial 16S ribosomal RNA". It matches the Rfam family "Bacterial small subunit ribosomal RNA", at positions 74 to 354 of the family's 1533-position model. The record is from RNAcentral.